CAGUAGCCGCGGUAAUACGAAGGGGGCUAGCGUUGUUCGGAAUUACUGGGCGUAAAGCGCACGUAGGCGGAUAUUUAAGUCAGGGGUGAAAUCCCAGAGCUCAACUCUGGAACUGCCUUUGAUACUGGGUAUCUUGAGUAUGGAAGAGGUGAGUGGAAUUCCGAGUGUAGAGGUGAAAUUCGUAGAUAUUCGGAGGAACACCAGUGGCGAAGGCGGCUCACUGGUCCAUUACUGACGCUGAGGUGCGAAAGCGUGGGGAGCAAACAGGAUUAGAUACCCCCGUAGUCCCUGUCUCUUAUAC
Molecule: ribosomal RNA, 301 nt
Filed under: uncultured bacterium
Lineage: Bacteria
Description: partial 16S ribosomal RNA
Rfam family: Bacterial small subunit ribosomal RNA
Source: RNAcentral